CAGUAGCCGCGGGAAUACGGAGGGGGCUAGCGUUGUUCGGAAUUACUGGGCGUAAAGCGCGCGCAGGCGGUUACUCAAGUCAGAGGUGAAAGCCCGGGGCUCAACCCCGGAACUGCCUUUGAAACUAGGUGACUAGAAUCUUGGAGAGGUCAGUGGAAUUCCGAGUGUAGAGGUGAAAUUCGUAGAUAUUCGGAAGAACACCAGUGGCGAAGGCGACUGACUGGACAAGUAUUGACGCUGAGGUGCGAAAGCGUGGGGAGCAAACAGGAUUAGAUACCCCCGUAGUCCCUGUCUCUUAUAC
Molecule: ribosomal RNA, 301 nt
Filed under: uncultured bacterium
Lineage: Bacteria
Description: partial 16S ribosomal RNA
Rfam family: Bacterial small subunit ribosomal RNA
Source: RNAcentral